AAUCACACCAAACACACACUUAGGUGUGUGUCUGGUCGAUCUCAACAACAGGGCGACACAAGGGUUCCCUCACAAACCCUAGUUCAUGCUAAAUCUAACAAAUUGAAGGUCAAGAUCAAUUCUAAAUCAAAAUCUGAGUACGAAAUAGUGAUCUCCAUUGAAAAGGAGUCAUAAGGCAAGGAAUCCGGAUCCUCUAGCGGACAAGCCGGUGGUGAUACGCGUUUGAAGGGUGUGCUCUAAAGGUAAAGAUGCACUUUAGACCCCGGAGGAUGAUCAAGCCAUGUCAAGAACCGAACACACCAAACAAAGCUUCCGCAUUUUGUAUAUUUUGUUUUUGUGACAUGUAAACACUUGAAAUUAUGUUUUGAAAGUUUAUCUAGUAGGAUGUUGACUUGAAUGUUAUGAUCAAGUAUGAUCUUAAAACUAAAAAGAUUUUUGUAAACUCGGAAUUCUUGUACUAAUUGCAUGUUAUAUAUUAUUAAUUC
This is a long non-coding RNA of Helianthus annuus (common sunflower), 485 nucleotides long. RefSeq lists it as uncharacterized. The transcript is spliced from 3 exons. Lineage: Eukaryota; Viridiplantae; Streptophyta; Magnoliopsida; Asterales; Asteraceae. The record is from RefSeq and is a predicted model, not a curated record.